This 253-nucleotide ribosomal RNA is filed under the name Colidextribacter massiliensis. RNAcentral's name for it is "partial 16S ribosomal RNA". It matches the Rfam family "Bacterial small subunit ribosomal RNA", at positions 524 to 776 of the family's 1533-position model. The record is from RNAcentral. Lineage: Bacteria; Bacillati; Bacillota; Clostridia; Eubacteriales.
UACGUAGGGAGCAAGCGUUAUCCGGAUUUACUGGGUGUAAAGGGCGUGUAGGCGGGACAGCAAGUCAGAUGUGAAAACUAUGGGCUCAACCCAUAGCCUGCAUUUGAAACUGUUGUUCUUGAGUGCUGGAGAGGCAAAUGGAACUCCUAGUGUAGCGGUGAAAUGCGUAGAUAUUAGGAAGAACACCAGUGGCGAAGGCGAUUUGCUGGACAGUAACUGACGCUGAUGCGCGAAAGUGUGGGGAGCAAACAGG